Long non-coding RNA from Xenia sp. Carnegie-2017, 652 nucleotides. RefSeq lists it as uncharacterized. Lineage: Eukaryota; Metazoa; Cnidaria; Anthozoa; Malacalcyonacea; Xeniidae. The record is from RefSeq and is a predicted model, not a curated record. The transcript has 2 exons.
CUUUUGCUAUAGUUUAUACUUUACAUUGCUUUGAAACUUAUUCUCCCAGCUACAUAAAUAAUUUCGUAGCCUUGAUGUGAGUAUGGACUGCCACAAUAAUAACAUUUUCCCGUCGAUUCAGAUUGGAUGGUGGCCAACAUGUCGUUAUUUUUGUCCUUUGACUCGAUAUCCCGUGCUUGAUAAGUGCUUUGCUCAUCUCUACGGCCGUCCAGCAAAAUAUCCCUGAGUUUAUACUCGGGAUCUCUUGGUGCUUUCUUUCGUAUCCUCGAAGAAGACCCCGCCAUGAUUAUCUGUUGUUCCACCUCAAAGUCAACAUCAUCAAAAGCACAUGUUUGAGCUAAUUUUCUCAAUUGCGUAUGAAAUUGUAUUUGAUUGUUCUUGUUUGGCUUCGCGAAAUUUGUACACUUCAUAUUGCCGAUUUUUUUGAGGCUCAAAAUAUUCCGUUAAUUUGGUUUUCGCAAGUUCAAAUUCGCUGUCGUCGCCUGUAUCGUUGAGCUGUCGAAAUAUUUCACGAAUGCGUGAACCAUCUUGACAGAGAACGAAUAUAUAACAAAAGAGAGACGCAAAUGUAUAGAAGCUGAGGUAGACCCAAAGGUGGACAAAACCAUAGAGAAAAAGGUAACACAAAUAAAGGCAAAAAGAUAUACAAAAA